AACGAACGCUGGCGGCAGGCUUAACACAUGCAAGUCGAACGUGAAGCCUCAAGCUUGCUUGAGGUGGAAAGUGGCAGACGGGUGAGUAACGCGUGGGAAUUUACCCAGUGGUUCGGAAUAACUUCGGGAAACCGGAGCUAAUACCGGAUACGCCCUCCGGGGGAAAGAUUUAUCGCCAUUGGAUGAGCCCGCGUCGGAUUAGCUUGUUGGUGAGGUAACGGCUUACCAAGGCGACGAUCCGUAGCUGGUCUGAGAGGAUGAUCAGCCACACUGGGACUGAGACACGGCCCAGACUCCUACGGGAGGCAGCAGUGGGGAAA
Molecule: ribosomal RNA, 320 nt
Filed under: uncultured bacterium
Lineage: Bacteria
Description: bacterial SSU rRNA
Rfam family: Bacterial small subunit ribosomal RNA
Source: RNAcentral